UACGUAGGGGGCAAGCGUUGUCCGGAUUUAUUGGGCGUAAAGAGCGUGUAGGCGGCCAUACAGGUCAGCUGUGGAAAACUCGAGGCUCAACCUCGAGACGUCGGUUGAAACCGUAUGGCUAGAGUCCGGAAGAGGAGAGUGGAAAUUCCCGGUGUAGCGGUGAAAUGCGCAGAUAUCGGGAAGAACACCCGUGGCGAAGGCGGCUCUCUGGGGACGGUACUGACGCUGAGACGCGAAAGCGUGGGGAGCGAACAGG
This 256-nucleotide ribosomal RNA is filed under the name uncultured bacterium. RNAcentral describes it as "partial 16S ribosomal RNA". It matches the Rfam family "Bacterial small subunit ribosomal RNA", at positions 524 to 776 of the family's 1533-position model. The record is from RNAcentral.